GGGCAAAGCCAGCACAAUUCAAACACAGCCCUGGCCAAUCAGCUUCUCCUCAUAGAGAUGAACUGAAUCAAUUAAUCUCUAUGAGGAAAGUUCAGUGUCUGCAUGCAGAGGGUGGAGAUACUGAAUGUUUGGAUGCAUUUUAGGCAGCCAUGACCCAGGAAGGAUCUCUAACAGCCAUCUGAGGAGUGGCCAGUGGAGGUAUCUCUAGUCUGUAAUGUAAACACUGCAUUUUCUCUGAAAAGACAGUGUUUACAGCAAAAAGCCUGAAGGUAAUGAUUCUGGUGACUAUAGGGUCCCUUUAAUCAAAUUUCUUUUAAUCUACGCCCAAAUUAAUCUAUGAGUCACGUAAAUCCUUGCUUGUUAGAUUGGUUGGGUGUGGAUUACCAGGAAUUUGAUUAGUUCAUCGCAGGUAAAAUUUCUACCAAUGACCAGCUCACGUGGGUUCUACAGUAAAAAGAAAUACUACAAAGACAAAACAGACUCUGAACUCAUUACUGCAGCAAUCGAUUAAUACACCACCGUGGGACAGACACUAUGGCUUCAAUUAUUG
Pelobates cultripes (western spadefoot toad) is the source of this 550-nucleotide non-coding RNA. The record is from the annotation of a GenBank genome assembly. NCBI's taxonomy places the organism in Eukaryota, Metazoa, Chordata, Amphibia, Anura, Pelobatidae.